AUUGAACGCUGGCGGCAUGCCUUACACAUGCAAGUCGAACGGUAACGGGCCUUCGGGUGCCGACGAGUGGCGAACGGGUGAGUAAUACAUCGGAACGUGCCCGAUCGUGGGGGAUAACGAGGCGAAAGCUUUGCUAAUACCGCAUACGAUCUACGGAUGAAAGCAGGGGACCGCAAGGCCUUGCGCGGACGGAGCGGCCGAUGGCAGAUUAGGUAGUUGGUGGGAUAAAAGCUUACCAAGCCGACGAUCUGUAGCUGGGCUGAGAGGAUGAUCAGCCACACUGGGACUUGGACACGGCCCAGGCUCCUACGGGAGGCAGCAGUGGGGAAUUUUGGACAAUGGGCGCAAGCCUGAUCCAGCCAUGCCGCGUGCAGGAUGAAGGCCUUCGGGUUGUAAACUGCUUUUGUACGGAACGAAAAGCCUUCUUUUAAUACAGGAGGGUCAUGACGGUACCGUAAGAAUAAGCACCGGCUAACUACGUG
Molecule: ribosomal RNA, 482 nt
Filed under: uncultured bacterium
Lineage: Bacteria
Description: partial 16S ribosomal RNA
Rfam family: Bacterial small subunit ribosomal RNA
Source: RNAcentral